AAAAGUGUGUGCAGUGAAACAUUGUAUUGUACUGAGACCCAGAAAUUUUGUUGAUAGGAAUAUUAGAAAUGCUAACAUUUUUCUAACCUUAAAGGAAAGAAAGAAAAUAAAGUGUUCCCAACCAUUGGCUGUUACCAGUGCAUUCACAGGAAUUAAUGACAAAUUUUCCAAAGGCUAAUAAGUAGUUCUAAAAGCAAAGGAUUUAUUUCUUCAAUUCAUUUCAUACCUAAUUAAAGCAUAAUAGUGCCCCUUUAUAUGAAGUAUGUUUCCUACGGAAAGAUCGGGCAAUGUGCUAAAAGCAUUUCAUUUUCUAGCAUGAGAUGUUCUUGUUUUCAUGGCCUGCCCUUUCAAAUAUGGCCAGAAUUAAAUAUUGUUUACCUUGCAUUUUAUAAUUAUUUCCUGUACUUGAUGGAAUAAAACUAAAAAUAAAACAUUAAAAAAAUUAAA
RNAcentral lists this long non-coding RNA (447 nucleotides) under Homo sapiens (human). RNAcentral's name for it is "HSALNT0111159". Lineage: Eukaryota; Metazoa; Chordata; Mammalia; Primates; Hominidae. The record is from RNAcentral.